GCUUUCUUCUUCAGUGACAAUUUGACGGCAGGUCCUUCCCUGCGAGAGGGACUGAGGGACCCGAAGCCGAAGAGCCCGAUGUGCCACCACUUCCCCUUGGCUGCCCCAAGCACCUGCUUGCUGAGCUGGUGCCUGGAGCCAGCCCCGCUUGGGCUCUGAUCCCAACCCUUCCCUU
This is a long non-coding RNA of Gopherus evgoodei (Goodes thornscrub tortoise), 175 nucleotides long. RefSeq lists it as uncharacterized. Lineage: Eukaryota; Metazoa; Chordata; Testudines; Testudinidae. The transcript has 3 exons. The record is from RefSeq and is a predicted model, not a curated record.